CUAAGCCGAGGCCGAAAGGCGUAGGUGAUGGACAACAGGUUGAUAUUCCUGUACCGCCAAUAAGCGUUUGAGAGAUGGAGUGACACAGUAGGAUAAGCUAACCGUACUGUUGGUUAUGUACGGCUAAGCAUUGAGGCAGUCUAAAUAGGCAAAUCCGUUUAGACAAUGCUAGGAUGUGAUGGGGAAGCCCUUCGGGGCGAAGUAGCUGAUUUCACACUGUCAAGAAAAGCUUCUAUCGAGUUUAAAGGCGCCCGUACCGUAAACCGACACAGGUGGGUGAGGAGAGUAUCCUAAGGCCAGCGAGAGAACUAUUGUUAAGGAACUCGGCAAAAUGACCCCGUAACUUAGGGAGAAGGGGUGCCUGUCUAUGACAGGCCGCAGAGAAUAGGCCCAAGCGACUGUUUACCAAAAACACAGGUUUCUGCUAAGUCGCAAGACGAUGUAUAGGAGCUGACGCCUGCCCGGUGCUGGAAGGUUAAGGGGAUCUGUUAGAGCAAUCGAAGCAGUGAACUUAAGCCCCAGUAAACGGCGGCCGUAACUAUAACGGUCCUAAGGUAGCGAAAUUCCUUGUCGGGUAAGUUCCGACCCGCACGAAAGGCGUAACGAUUUGGGCACUGUCUCAACAAUAGACUCGGUGAAAUUGUAAUCCCGGUGAAGAUGCCGGGUACCUGCGACAGGACGGAAAGACCCCAUGGAGCUUUACUGUAGCUUGACGUUGGGUCUUGGUACUACAUGUACAGGAUAGGUGGGAGACUAUGAAGCAUGGACGCCAGUCUGUGUGGAGUCAUCCUUGGGAUACCACCCUUGUAGUACUGGGAUCCUAACCAUAGGCCUUGAAUCAGGUCUUGGAACACCGUCAGGUGGGCAGUUUGACUGGGGCGGUCGCCUCCUAAAAAGUAACGGAGGCGCUCAAAGGUUUCCUCAGCACGGUCGGAAAUCGUGCGAAGAGUGUAAAGGCAAAAGGAAGCUUGAUUGCAAGACAUACAGGUCGAGCAAGGACGAAAGUCGGACUUAGUGAUCCGGUGGUUCCGCAUGGAAGGGCCAUCGCUCAACGGAUAAAAGCUACCCUGGGGAUAACAGGCUGAUCUCCCCCAAGAGUCCACAUCGACGGGGAGGUUUGGCACCUCGAUGUCGGCUCAUCACAUCCUGGGGCUGUAGUAGGUCCCAAGGGUUGGGCUGUUCGCCCAUUAAAGUGGUACGCGAGCUGGGUUCAGAACGUCGUGAGACAGUUCGGUCCCUAUCCGUCGCAGGCGUAGGAAAUUUGAGAAGACCUGUCCUUAGUACGAGAGGACCGGGAUGGACGUACCUCUGGUGUACCAGUUGUUCUGCCAAGGGCAUGGCUGGGUAGCUAUGUACGGAAUGGAUAAGCGCUGAAAGCAUCUAAGCGCGAAGCCAACUUCAAGAUAAGAUUUCCCACCGUAAGGGUAAGACCCCAGGAAGACUACCUGGUUGAUAGGUCGAAGGUGUAAGUGCAGUAAUGUAUUUAGCUUAUCGAUACUAAUAGGUCGAGGACUUGACCAA
Molecule: ribosomal RNA, 1521 nt
Filed under: human gut metagenome
Description: bacterial LSU rRNA
Rfam family: Bacterial large subunit ribosomal RNA
Source: RNAcentral